Molecule: long non-coding RNA, 3136 nt
Filed under: Homo sapiens (human)
Lineage: Eukaryota; Metazoa; Chordata; Mammalia; Primates; Hominidae
Description: HSALNT0181180
Source: RNAcentral
UUUAUUACUUUUCUCCUCGGCUCUCUUGCCCUCCCAAGUACAUGGUGACUGCUGCUCCUAAUUGCUGUUUCACUAAAAUGCACAAUGCUCUCCAUUUUGUGUUUUAAAUUCCAUGUAUUUCUAGGGCCUUCAGGAUCACUAAACCCUCCACCAAGAGAAUGCAAUAGAAGUGGCGGUUAUGAAAGUUUCUGGAAGUGGCCCAGUAGUACAGAAGAAUGAGGAUAGCAGAAAGGGUUGAGAAGGAAUUAAGAAAGACCUGCUGGACUUUACUGAGCCCACACUGAUGAGUCAUGUGGUCAAGGUUGAGCCCAUGCAACUUUGGCACAGCCUCCAAAGCCAGGGCAAAGUCACUCACAGAGGGACUGGAUGGCUAUGGUUAGACCUGUGCUUGAACCAUGCUUUUCAGCUUGGGAGCAAACUCAUAUGCAUAAUUUCCUUUGACCCUGUGACAAUCCCAUAUGAUACGUUUUUACUCUCACUUUUCAGAUGAGGAAACUGAGGCUCAUAGAAUCACCCGGGUCCUGCUGCUGCGUAGAGGGCAAAGCUGGUGUGCUUUCCCCAUGCCAGAGGCCUUAGGGGUCUGGAGCCCACUCACUUGCUAGUGAUUUAAACCUUGUGCAACCAAACUCAUGGCACCAUACUUAAUGCAAUAAUUCAAGAAACAUUCUUUGAGUAUCUACUGUAGGCUAGGGAUACAAUGAGCAAAACAGAAUCCUUCUCUAUCCUCAGGGAACUUAGAUGUACCUGGGGAGAGUUCCACAAGCAACAACGUGUGGUGAGUUAGGUGAAUCAGAGAGAAAGCACCAUGUUACGGAAGCUGCUGGCAGGAGGCUCCGAUCUCAUCUACAGGACAGAGAAGCCUUCCUGGAGGAAGCAAGGUUUGAGAUGAAACCUGAAGGGUAGAAGAUAAAUAGAUGAAGGAGGGGGAAGAGCACGCAGGCCAGGAGGAAGCCUGCACAAAGGCGUGUCUAACAUGUAAGAGAAAUUGGUGGCUGAGGAACUGGAUUGAUUUAGGAGGCAUCAUCAAUUGAUAAGGCUAAGGAACUGAUUCAAUUGUGGGGCUCAUGGAGAGACAGGAAUUAGGAACCCGCUCCCCCCACAACCCCAGUUCCUGACGUGGCCACCUGUGGGAUGGCAGUGCAUUUACUGAGACAGGGAGUGCUGUGGAGGAGCCUAAUAGUGGAAGUGAGGUUGGGAGAAGAUAAUGAACGGUUAUCUUAUCUAUGGUGAUGAAAAUGAGCCCUAAAAGGCAGUUCAGCUGACCCAGCUUUGUUAUGAUCUCAGGGCCAAGAACUGAAUUAAAGCCCCGAUGUAGACAUGGUGUUAAUUAUUUCAUUGAGGCCACCCAUUAAGGCUGUAAACACUGAGUUUGUUUCCACCCUACUGAGAAAUCGAAAGGACAGAGUGAAGCUUCAACAUGAUCGUCACCAGCUGGAACAAUCAGGCUUAACACGAUGAAAUUUAACAGGGACAAAUUUAAAUUACACUCCUUAGGUUCGCAAAAUCUGUUGUUUCUGUAAAGGAUGAAAAACCUGACUUAACAGCAGCUCAUGUCAACAGAACCUAAUAGAGUCAGUUGGCUAUGAAUUCCACACAAGCUGACAUGGUGAUGUGGCUGGCCUUUUGUAAGGAACAUGGCUAUACUGCAGCCAAGCAAGGAUAGGCCGAGGUAAACAUCCUGCGUGACUCAGCCAGUUUAUAGCGCAGGAGCAUAGCUCCACUUGUUGUAUAAUCACAGCCAUGUAGCCAUAACAUGGGAAGGCUCAUCACUUGGCUUGGAGCCACUAUCAUCUGUAAAAGGUAUAAUUUCCCUGCUGACACUGUACAGGCAUGCUUGUGUCCAGAGAAAGAGAGAGAGAAAGCCAGAGCUGUCUGUUUUGUAAACGGACAUGGGGGAGCCAGGACACAGCUUGGCUUGCUUGUGCCCGUAGGGCAAGAGUUAAGCUGCUAACCCUGAAGAGAGAGCUGGUUGUGCAGCUGUAUGUGGGAGCCACCGGAGCAAGCAGCCAAGACGGAGACAGUGUAAGAGAGAUGCUGAAUAAAACCACAUUUCACCUACUUACGGCCCCCUAAGAGUUCUUCCUAUCCAUCCGCCAUUCAUCCACCCACUCCCUUAGGACCUCAGCAUGGGCUGGAACCUGACCUUAAACUUAACACCCUUCUUCCACUUCUAAUGUCCCCUUGAUGUAUGAGAUAUUGGAGAGGAACCCAUGAAGCUUCCUCUGAUCAGGAUAGAGAAGAACCUGUAAGAAAAGUGCAGCAGCCAAGGAGAGAGGCCAGCUCAGAGAUAUGUCUGUAGGGAAGUCAGGGCUGGCUUGUAGGCUCGAAUGUUGGGGAGCUGCAUGCCAUGUGAUUGGAGGGUGUCUCUAACAAAACACCUGAAAAAAAAAGAGGCAAGGGACAUAAUUCUUAGCUAACAAGGGGGCCUCAGAGAGAGGGAUUUGUUAGGGCUAGGAGAAGAAGGAAGGAUGCACCAAGGAAAUGAUAAAGGAUGAAGCAUUGCAGAAAAGCCAAUUGCUGUAUUAAUUCAUUUCAGUCAUGUGUUUGAGCUCUGAUUUUGUGUAUAGCCCUAUGCUGUGGGAAAUGCUAUGAAACAACAGCCACAGAGUCAACAGCGCUGAUUGGUAUGGCUCAGAUGACCAGUGCUGUUCAGAGGAUGGUGAGGGGUCACCAGGGAAGAAGCCAUGGAGGAGCUGAAGCUUGAGCAGGCCCUUGAUGGAAGGGGUUGGGGAAGAUGUCACUGCAGAGCGUGAGCUGGGGAAGAUGAAGAAAUCAGCUGACUGGAGUCUUCAGAAAUGGGGUGGAAUAGGGUGUGCCCUGUGUUGUUGACUACCCUUGUGUUGUGCUGAUAUUCCAUCACAGAGGUGAGUGCCCAGAGAACGGUAAGGAGGGAAGCCCAGAGGAAAGGCUUUGCGGGGAGAAUCCCCACUGCUUUCUUAUGGGAAAUCAAAUGAAUGAGAUAGGGGUGAGCAGGUAAUAUCUAAAUUGUACAGAGUCCCCCUUCUUCCUUCUUUUCUUCCUUUCUUUCUUCCCUGGUAUGGUUUGAAUGCAUCCCCCCAAAGUCAUGUGUUAGAUAGUCCCCAAGGCAAGUGUUGUGAAGUGGGACCUAAUGGGAGGUGUUUAGGUCAUGAGGGCU